Molecule: non-coding RNA, 169 nt
Filed under: Caballeronia udeis
Lineage: Bacteria; Pseudomonadati; Pseudomonadota; Betaproteobacteria; Burkholderiales; Burkholderiaceae
Source: RNAcentral
AUUCGGCCGACUCAUUCUAGAAUGGCGACUUGCAUUGCGAGGAAACCGGUGAAAGUCCGGCACGGUCGCGCCACUGUGAGCGGAUGUCAAACAAGGCUAUUGAAGGGCUGCCAGUGCUUCAGCCUUCUGCAUCUGCAAGUCAGACCCUCGCUGCAACCUUUCUUUUUUC